AUACAGAGGGUGCGAGCGUUAAGCGGAAUUACUGGGCGUAAAGCGCGCGUAGGCGGUCUAUUAAGUCAGAUGUGAAAUCCCAGGGCUCAACCUUGGAACUGCAUCUGAUACUGGUAGACUAGAGUUUUGGAGAGGGAAGUAGAAUUUCAGGUGUAGCGGUGAAAUGCUUAGAGAUCUGAAGGAAUACCAGUGGCGAAGGCGACUUCCUGGCCAAAAACUGACGCUGAGGUGCGAAAGCGUGGGUAGCAAACGGGAUUAGAAACCCUAGUAGUCC
This 274-nucleotide ribosomal RNA is filed under the name uncultured bacterium. RNAcentral's name for it is "partial 16S ribosomal RNA". It matches the Rfam family "Bacterial small subunit ribosomal RNA", at positions 523 to 796 of the family's 1533-position model. The record is from RNAcentral.